This 231-nucleotide long non-coding RNA is filed under the name Elaeis guineensis (African oil palm). RNAcentral's name for it is "long non-coding RNA (EGUI_LNC035338)". Lineage: Eukaryota; Viridiplantae; Streptophyta; Magnoliopsida; Arecales; Arecaceae. The record is from RNAcentral.
GUGGUAGCAUCGCAAAGUUCGUCCCCAUCCUCUUUGUUGUUACCCUUGCAGCAUCUCGUAUCCCUGUCCUUCCUCCCUUAUCCAUGGAUUCCAGCUAGUCUUUUGAACAUCCCAAGCUUUUUUUACUUAUUAAUUGGAUCCUAAUGCUCACUAUUAAAAACCUAUUACAUUAUUGCCCAGAUCAAUGACCGGAAACGAUGGUAGAAAUGCAUUCCAGAAUAGAAAAGGGGA